UGUAUAAUUUUCUUUAUAUUUCACAAACUAAAUACUUUAAUGCCACAAAUUUUAUAUGUAUAGCUUUUUAAUACAAUAACCUAUCUUCUUGAAAAGAUUUGAGCUAGAAUUUCAUCUAAAAAAUCAAGAUAUGGCUUCUACCAUUAUUAUGAAUAAAAUCACUUACUUAUUGCCUUUGAUUUGGAUGUAUUGACUUCAAUUCUUUGUAACUUCUUUAUUUGAACUCCAAAUUCAUCA
This 237-nucleotide long non-coding RNA is filed under the name Physcomitrium patens. Its description in RNAcentral is "long non-coding RNA (PPAT_LNC007338)". The record is from RNAcentral. Lineage: Eukaryota; Viridiplantae; Streptophyta; Bryopsida; Funariales; Funariaceae.